RNAcentral lists this ribosomal RNA (1245 nucleotides) under Pedobacter sp. Its description in RNAcentral is "bacterial SSU rRNA". It matches the Rfam family "Bacterial small subunit ribosomal RNA", at positions 33 to 1308 of the family's 1533-position model. The record is from RNAcentral. Lineage: Bacteria; Pseudomonadati; Bacteroidota; Sphingobacteriia; Sphingobacteriales; Sphingobacteriaceae.
AUGAUAUGCGGCAGUCUACUACAUGCAAGUCGAACGGGAUUGGGGCUUCGGCCCCAUGAGAGUGGCGUACGGGUGCGUAACGCGUAUGCAACCUACCUUCAUCAGGGGGAUAGCCCGGAGAAAUCCGGAUUAAUUCCGCAUAAAAACACAGGAUAGCAUUAUCCAAUGUUCAAAUAUUUUUAGGAUGGAGAUGGGCAUGCUUGCCCUUAGCUAGUCGGUAGGGUAACGGCCUACCCAGGCAUCGAUGGCUAGGGGAUCUGAGAGGAUGGCCCCCCACCCUGGUACUGAGACACGGACCAGACUCCUACGGGAGGCAGCAGUAAGGAAUAUUGGUCAAUGGAGGCAACUCUGAACCAGCCAUGCCGCGUGCAGGAAGACAGCCCUAUGGGUCGUAAACUGCUUUUAUACGGGAACAAACCUUUCCUCGUGAGGAAAGCUGAGCGUACCGUAAGAAUAAGGAUCGGCUAACUCCGUGCCAGCAGCCGCGGUAAUACGGAGGAUCCAAGCGUUAUCCGGAUUUAUUGGGUUUAAAGGGAGCGUAGGCGGCCCGUUAAGUCAGGGGUGAAAGACGGUGGCUCAACCAUCGCAGUGCCUUUGAUACUGACAGGCUUGAAUACACUUGAGGUAGGCGGAAUGUGACAAGUAGCGGUGAAAUGCAUAGAUAUGUCACAGAACACCGAUUGCGAAGGCAGCUUACUAAAGUGUGAUUGACGCUGAGGCUCGAAAGCGUGGGGAUCAAACAGGAUUAGAUACCCUGGUAGUCCACGCCCUAACGAUGAUAACUCGAUGUUGGCGAUAUACAGUCAGCGUCCAAGCGAAAGCGUUAAGUUAUCCACCUGGGGAGUACGCCCGCAAGGGUGAAACUCAAAGGAAUUGACGGGGGCCCGCACAAGCGGAGGAGCAUGUGGUUUAAUUCGAUGAUACGCGAGGAACCGUUACCCGGGCUUGAAAGUUACUGAAGGUACUAGAGAUAGUACCGUCCCUCGGGACAGGAACUAGUGCUGCAUGGCUGUCGUCAGCUCGUGCCGUGAGUGUUGGGUUAGUCCCGCAACGAGCGCAACCCCUAUGUUUAGUUGCCAGCAUGUCAGAUGGGGACUCUAAACAGACUGCUACGUUAGUAAGAGACGUGGGGACGACGUCAGUCAUCAUGUCCGUACGUCGGCUACCACGUGCUACAUGACGGUCAGUGCAGCUACUGCACAGAUGCCAUCUCACAAAGCGAUUCCAAGUUCGGAUCCGGGCUGA